CAGACUGGAAUUGGGUGUGGGGUCAUUAGCAGCCAGGGUGGGGUGGGAGAAGGCUGAAGGGGGUUGUGGAGCCUGAAGAGCCCCCAAGGUGAGGCCUGUGGGUGUAUUAACACAGUGGAACACUAUUCUGCAAUGAAAAAGAGUGAGCGGCAUGGAUGGAUCUCAUAGACACCGUGCAGACUCUAAGAAAUCGGUCCACACUAGCAUGUAGAGCAGGGCUGCUUUCAAAGUUGGGCAAAAGAGGUCAGGACAGUGGUUACUGGGGAUGGAGUUGGGUAUUGGCUGGGAGGAAUAUGAGAACCUUUAGAGGGCUGGAAACUUCUAGCUUGAUCUGAGUGGUGGCUGCACCGGUGAAUAAAUUGGUAAAAAUUCAAUGAGACUGCAUUUAAAAUGUGUGUGUUUUAAAAAAAUAAAAUAAAAUAUGUGUGAUUUACGUAAAAUGGAUCUCCAUAAAAGAAGAAAUGAGCCGAGCCAAAAAGCUAGACUUUGACAGAAGGGCAGGUGGGAGCCACGGAAGUUUGAGCCAGGGCUAGGUCCAGGGACGUGUGAAUGUUGGGAGAGUCCUCAGGGUCCCGGGAUGCAGGUGCAUGGAAGGAGAGAGGCCAGAAUCUGCCUCAGCCUCAGCUCCUGACUGGCUUUCUAACUGCCACCCCUCUCUGGGCCCUCUUUUCCCCAACCAGCCCUCUCAUGGGAGUGGAGGUAAAACAGGAGAGAAGUCCAGAGCAUGUGAGACUGAGCUCCCUGGGGACAGACAUCUGAUUCGUGCCUGCGGCCCUACUAGCUCCUGAUAGAAGUGCUGAUUUUGUGAGGGGGAGUGCAGAAGCCGCCGGAAGGGGGGUCUCAGGACCCAUGCCCCACAUUGGGAAAUGGGUGAAAGUAGCGGGGCAAAUCCAAGAUACUCGAGAACGGGAUCGCUGACGUGUCCUCUUAGUUUCUUAGUGAAAAGCCACUUCUAACCAGUUCCUGCCUUGUCACAGUGAAAACCACCUUAGCUGGAGGUGAGGAAUUUGGGCCCCCCAGGCGUUCAGGGUUUUCAUUCAGUGAUAUUCACUGAGGCCCUGCAUGUGCCAGCCCUUGACAUUGAAGACACAGUAGAGAACAGAAAUGAAAAUACGGUAUUAAUCAUCCCUGAGCUUCUCAAUGGGCCCGUUGGCUAAGUGCUGGGGCUCUGGAGCCAGGCUCCCUGGGUCAGAGCCCAGCUCCCCCUUCUCUACUGUGGCUUUGGGCAGGUUUCUUAAAUCUCUCUCUGCCUCAGUUACUUUUUAUGUAAAACGGGACCACACAAUACCCACUUUGCUUCCUUUUUAGAGAUUUGUGCGGUCGUUUGGCAGGGGAUCUGGCUGUAACACUGCAAGGAGGGCUUCCUGCAGGGGGAGGGUGUUGGAGAUGUCUUCAUCCAGUUCCUGUCUCCUGUACUGCCAAGUGGGCUGGCGUCCAGAGGAAGGGCAAUUCGUGGCAGUGGGUGGUGCAAGCCCCAGUUUAGCUCCCGGAGCCAAGGGAUGAGGCUAACUGUGGCUUUGCAGGGAAAUCCGAAGAUAGCUCAGCAGAGAAGGAUGACUCCCAGACGGGCUUCCCCGCAGAGCGAAGGAAGCGAGGGUGAAUCAGCCUCUCAAAGUGGAAUGGAGCCGUUGAGGGAAGUGAUGGGAAGUGAAACCUCCAAGAGGUCCAAGGCCACUCGGCCUCUGACUCACCUCAGGCAGGGCAGAGGGAGGGCUCAGCCACAGGGCAGGGCAAGCUGGGUGUGAAUCUGGGCCCUGCGGCCAGACCUCCAGCCUCUAGACGUGGCCCUUCCUGCAACCUCAGUUUCUGUAUCUCUACAACGGGGUGGGAAGGGUUUGGUCGAGGUGAUUUACAGGAGGGAAGCACACAGUAGGGCCUCCAGAACUGCUAGCCCCUCCCCCUUUCCUGUCUGAGUCUUAAGCAGAUAAUGAAAUGAGUAUGUUGGGAUAGUUUGGGGUUCUUGUUAGUCUCCUGACCGGUGAGUCGUCAUCUAGGUCCUGGCGAGAUGAGUAAGGGAGGGAGGGCGGCAGGAAAAAGAAAAAGAGCAGCCAUGCACCACAUCUGAAAAUCAAUAGCGAAAAUAAAAAUGAUGAACCGUCUCUCGUGUAUCUGGUUCUUACUAAAUGCCUGCCCGUCUGUGCCAGUCCCUGUUUUCAUCUUCACAGCAGUUCCGUGGGAAGGUGGACCCAUUCUAGAAGUGAGGUAAAAUGUUCAGAGAGGUGAAGCCACUUGCCCAAAGUCACACAGGUAGCGGAUGGCAGAGCUAGGCUUUGGACCCUGAACCAAAUCCUGGAAUUGAAGCCUUUGCUCUUAGCCUCAGAUCUGUGGGGGUGGGGGUUAUUGAGGACCCACAGACCUGGGAGGGCACUUAGAGGAGGGGUCUGUUGUAUAGACAGGGCAACUAAGGUUCAGGCCAGACAGGGGCCUUCCACUGGAUGAUCUGCCUGUUGGGAGUGUACAUAUGUUCAGAAAGAAACAGCAACUUCUUCUGGCUUUGUUUAACAUUUAUUACAAAGUUAAGAGCAGAGACUGGUGAGUUGUGCCCCCCACCCGCCUUCUCCCCACCAAAUACUCUGCAGCUCUGGAAAACUGUGUUCUCCUUGCUCUCCCGCCAGAGGGCGCUGCUUCUUCUCAGCCUCAGGCCUGGUUCCUUCAGCUCCCUUAUCCAGCGGUAACUGAGGCAUCCCAGGAUCCUGGACUCUGGGCCCCCCCCCACCCCUGGUCCCCUCCUCCUCUGGGACCCAGAAGUCUCACCCCCCCAGGCACCUCCCCUUCUAACUGAAAGCUGGAGGUCAUCCGUAGCAGCAUAGUGAGGAUGUUUUGUCGAGGGUAUGUAGGGUAGUAGUGACCAUUUUCCCGUUGGGGGCAGGGAGUGGGCGUGUGUGUGUGUGGCCACGGCCCUUCUCCUUGAGCCAGUGUCUCCUCCAGCAGCCAUCCGUGAGUGAGCCCAUCCAAAGGUGGAGCCCCCUUCGGUCCUUGCACUCGAGGUGCUUUAUUCGUAGGGCUGGGUCAGGAGUAGCAGGGACAAUGUCCUCGACCUCAAUCCUGGGGAAAGUAGCUUGGUUCUUCCUCCAUGGGUCCUGGGGAGACAAAUAGAGACAUGGCUAGACAGGCAGGCCAGAAGCCAGAGGGAGAGCAACAGCAGGGACACUGAGGUGGAGACAGACACCAGUGGACAGAGGAGGAAGGAAGAGGGUGGGUGUACCUGCCACCAAGAGACUGGGCAUUUGCACAGAGACUGAGAGCAUGCCCAGAGACAGGCAGGCAGACCAAGCAAAGAAAGAGGGAGAAGAUAUUGAGGGUCAGCAAAGAGAAGGACUGUCUCCUUCCUUUCCUGCUAGUCCAGCCCCAAACUUGAGUCCUGUCUUCCAAACAGCAGAAGAGAAAGGGUAGCCUUGUCCCCAAGACCAUCCCCUGCCCCUUAGCCCCAUGGGGCGCUAUCCACAGGCACCAUUUCUCCAGGAUGUUCUGCCUGAGUCCAGCCCUCUCACCAGCUACGUGGCCUCCUGGCUUGGUUCUGGAAGCUGCUGCGGCCCCAGGGCAUUGCUAAGCAGCUCGGUCAGGGUGUCCAGCUUCCGGGCCAGUGCAUCCAUCCGCUUCUCCAGGGCCUGAUGGGAGCUGCUCAGACCCAGCUGCAGGUCACACAGGAUCAUGUGCAUCUGGGCAGAGCGGGUCAGAGGUAUCAGUGGGUGAGGUAGACUUCCCCUUAUCCCAGCUGCUUGGCUCAGUGCUUCCCCUACAUGGUUUAAAACUCCUUAAAAGUGCGAGGAGUGCGAAUUCUGUUCCCGUUUUUACAGCUAUGUAAACAGGCCUAGAGCAGUUAAAAUGACAUGCCCAAGGCAGCACCUAGAAUAAGGCUUAGGACGUAGAAGGUAGGUGCUCACUAAACAUUUGUGGAAUUGAUGAAUGGCUUCAGAAUGCACGUAGCCCUUUCAUUACCUUCUCAGAUGAGGAUUCACAGCUUCAUCCUUGAGGGUGUGUGAGCUUUCUAUGAGAAUUCUUGAAUUCUAUGUUUU
This is a long non-coding RNA of Lynx canadensis (Canada lynx), 4016 nucleotides long. RefSeq lists it as uncharacterized. The record is from RefSeq and is a predicted model, not a curated record. Lineage: Eukaryota; Metazoa; Chordata; Mammalia; Carnivora; Felidae. The transcript is spliced from 2 exons.